This 492-nucleotide ribosomal RNA is filed under the name uncultured bacterium. RNAcentral's name for it is "partial 16S ribosomal RNA". It matches the Rfam family "Bacterial small subunit ribosomal RNA", at positions 29 to 507 of the family's 1533-position model. The record is from RNAcentral.
AGUGAACGCUGGCGGUAGGCCUAACACAUGCAAGUCGAACGGCAGCACAGUAAGAGCUUGCUCUUACGGGUGGCGAGUGGCGGACGGGUGAGGAAUACAUCGGAAUCUACUUUUUCGUGGGGGAUAACGUAGGGAAACUUACGCUAAUACCGCAUACGACCUACGGGUGAAAGCAGGGGAUCUUCGGACCUUGCGCAAUUGAAUGAGCCGAUGUCGGAUUAGCUAGUUGGCGGGGUAAAGGCACACCAAGGCGACGAUACGUAGCCGGUCUGAGAGGAUGAUCAGCCACACUGGAACUGAGACACGGUCCAGACUCCUACGGGAGGCAGCAGUGGGGAAUAUUGGACAAUGGGCGCAAGCCUGAUCCAGCCAUACCGCGUGAGUGAAGAAGGCCUUCGGGUUGUAAAGCCCUUUUGUUGGGGAAGAAAAGCAGCAGGUUAAUACCCCGCUGUUCUGACGGUACCCAAAGAAUAAGCACCGGCUAACUACGUG